This is a long non-coding RNA of Mesocricetus auratus (golden hamster), 440 nucleotides long. RefSeq lists it as uncharacterized. The transcript has 2 exons. The record is from RefSeq and is a predicted model, not a curated record. Lineage: Eukaryota; Metazoa; Chordata; Mammalia; Rodentia; Cricetidae.
UCUGUGAGUUCUCUGUACUCUUUCUUCUAAUCCAUCCUUUUUAUGGUGGCUGGCGUUAUCAAGAAGACAUGUUUACCUGAAAUCCGUCUUAGCAGCUGUAUCAGCCACCAUCCUUAUCCAACAGUUGUCACUACCGUCCACGGCUGGGUUCCAUGAAGAGAAGCCAGACACAAGAACCUGCUAGCCUAGAGUGAAUUGGAAGAAUUGGAGCCCUGUGUCUGGUGCACUUCUUCAAACACAGGUUCCAGGUAUAUUCUACAGAUAAUCAUGCACUGUGACAAAGCUUUGAUCUUUGAAGUUUAUUUCCACUGUGGGGGCACAGUCAAAUAUCUAAUAGAUCAACAGUCAACUUCCAUCUUCAUAGGCCUGAAGCCUACAACUCUCAUCAUAAUUAAUUCCUUCAUCCUUGGAAGCAAGAUGAAUAAAUUAUUAAUUAUGAA